This is a long non-coding RNA of Bombina bombina (fire-bellied toad), 731 nucleotides long. RefSeq lists it as uncharacterized. Lineage: Eukaryota; Metazoa; Chordata; Amphibia; Anura; Bombinatoridae. The record is from RefSeq and is a predicted model, not a curated record. The transcript is spliced from 3 exons.
UUGACAGUGAAUUCUCUCCACAGCCAGGAGGUGUCAGACGCUUAACAAUAGUCCAUACACCUCAAGGUACAAAAUAAAACCAGCAAGUAAUUUAUGAAGGUAUUGAUCUUGAUAAUAUAAUCCUCAUUGGUAUAAUUUUAUAAUUGUAGAAACUGAUAAUUAUGAUAAAAUAUCCAAGAAAAGGAGGUUUCAGGAGAAUAAGGGAUUUAUCUUAUUUUGAAGGUAUUCAUAUAAUUACUACAAUUGAAUGUAUUUUUUAAAAUUUAAAAUGUUAAUUUUUAUAAUUCUAUAUCUGUUCAUAGGAAGUGAAACAGAGGAAAAUAAUGUCCAAAACAAAAUUGCAGUAACUUUGCCAUCGAUGCAACUAGAACAGAUGAAAGUAUAGAAAUAUACGGACAAAAUGAAUCUGAAAAUGAUGCUGCUAUGGAAGUUACAAAUGUUUCAAGAUAUACACAGACAAUUACAACUUCAACACCUCCAUCCUCCAGUCAUAUUGAUGCCGGUGUGCAAGUUGGAUCCCAAGUACAGUCACCUGUUCAAGAAGAAAUCAUAAAUAUUAUGGAUUCUCUAAAGAAUUUAAAUGCACUGGUUCAAAAGCUAUACAACGCUUAUGUUGUGGAGAAGAUGUAUUUGUGAUAGAUCUGGAGUUUCCCCUCCCAGGUCUGUAGAUCUGCACUCCUGACUAUGAUCAGUAAUUGGAACCAGAUUUAUAAUGACCUCUCUUGAGGAAU